RNAcentral lists this ribosomal RNA (273 nucleotides) under uncultured bacterium. RNAcentral's name for it is "partial 16S ribosomal RNA". It matches the Rfam family "Bacterial small subunit ribosomal RNA", at positions 524 to 796 of the family's 1533-position model. The record is from RNAcentral.
UACGGAGGGUGCAAGCGUUGCUCGGAAUUAUUGGGCGUAAAGCGCACGCAGGCGGCAAGGUAAGUCAGUUGUGAAACUCCCGGGCUUAACUUGGGAACUGCAGCUGAUACUGCCUUGCUUGAGUACGGAAGAGGGGAGCGGAAUUCCCAGUGUAGAGGUGAAAUUCGUAGAUAUUGGGAGGAACACCGGUGGCGAAAGCGGCUCCCUGGUCCGAUACUGACGCUCAUGUGCGAAAGCGUGGGGAGCAAACAGGAUUAGAAACCCGCGUAGUCC